GACGAACGCUGGCGGCGUGCCUAACACAUGCAAGUCGAGCGGAGGUAUUCAAGGAGCAAUCUGCGGAUACUUUAGCGGCGGACGGGUGAGUAACGCGUGAGCAACCUGCCUUUCACAGGGGGAUAAGGCGGCGAAAGCCGCUCUAAUACCGCAUGAGACCCCGGUGGUGAUACCACAGCGGUCAAAGGAGCAAUCCGGUGAGAGAUGGGCUCGCGUCCGAUUAGGUAGUUGGUGAGGUAAAGGCUCACCAAGCCAAUGAUCGGUAGCCGGCCUGAGAGGGUGAACGGCCACAUUGGAACUGAGAGACGGUCCAAACUCCUACGGGAGGCAGCAGUGGGGAAUAUUGGGCAAUGGGGGAAACCCUGACCCAGCAACGCCGCGUGAGGGAAGAAGGUUUUCGGAUUGUAAACCUCUGUUCUUGGGAAGAGCAGAAGACGGUACCCAAGGAGGAAGCCCCGGCUAACUACGUG
Molecule: ribosomal RNA, 470 nt
Filed under: uncultured bacterium
Lineage: Bacteria
Description: bacterial SSU rRNA
Rfam family: Bacterial small subunit ribosomal RNA
Source: RNAcentral